Molecule: long non-coding RNA, 1701 nt
Filed under: Homo sapiens (human)
Lineage: Eukaryota; Metazoa; Chordata; Mammalia; Primates; Hominidae
Description: HSALNT0343176
Source: RNAcentral
CACCGGGUCAGAAUCAUCAGUAUCACUGUCUUUCACCUCCUUAUCUUGUCUCACUGGAAGGUCUUCAGGGGCAAUAACAUGCAUGGAGCUGUCAUCUCCUAUGCUAACAAUGCCUUCUUCUGGAAUAUCCCUGAAUGACCUGCCUGAGACUGUUUUAAGAUUAACUUAAAAAAAUAAGUAGAAGGUGUCUACUCUAAAAUAAUGAUGAGAUGUGUAGUAUAGUAAAUACAUAAACCAGUAACAUAGUCAUUUAGUAUCAUCAAAUGAUAUGGCUUGGCUGUGACCCACCCAAAAUCUCAUCUUGAAUUGUAAUAAUCACCACAUGUCAAGGGUGGGACCAGGUGGAGAUAAUUGAAUCAUGGGUCAGUUUCCCCCAUUCUGUUCUCGUGAUAGUGAGUGAGUUCUUAGAAGAUCUGAUGGUUUUAUAAGGGGCUUCCCCCUUGGCUUGGCUGUUAUUCUCUGAUUCUUUCUCCUGCCACCCUGUGAAGAGGCGCCUUCUGCCAUGAUUAGUCCUCAGAAGGGAAGAUAGUGUUAAUGUAGAAUUGAUAACACAGAAUGCACCACUGCUGUGAUCCUUAUAUCUUGGCUGGCCAUUACCCCUCCACUUGGAAAUGAAAAAGAUAAACUAAUUGAAGCAGUGAGAAGAGAAAAAGGGAGAGGAAGGUGCUAUUGUGGAGGUGCAUACCCAACAGUUUGAUAAUGUAGAGGAAGUGAUAGCUUUGUCUCGUGGAAUCUGGGUCGACCUCACAGAGGAGCUGUUAUUUGUUCUGGAUAUUGAACAGUGACAAGGAUUCAGUGGGAGAGAAAGAGGCGAGGCAACAACAAACAUGUGCUGUGGAGAUGCUAUGAGCAAGGUGAUGGCAGAGAUAAUGGACAUAAAAGAUGAAGAAGACGUGGGGUCCUUUUUCAAUGAGUUGAAGUCUAGCAGAGAAGAGAUGCAUAUAAGAAUAAUGGAAAACUUGUAACAGGUCAAGAGAUUGAAUUGUGAGCUGACAGAGAAAGUGAUGACAUAGUCCAAAAAUGAAAAAGUGUGGGAAAAGAGUAGUUUUUAAGAGGAAGAUCAAGUUUUAGAUGUGUUGAUUUUAAUGUGAAGUGAAAUAUCCUAAUGCAGAUUCUCUGAAAGCAGUUGAUUGAUGAAAGACUGGAAUUUAAGUAGAAGUAAUGAUCAGAAUUAAUGUACAGCUUUAAUAGAAAAUUUUUCCUCAAAGGCAAUUUUGUAGAAGCUCUUGAUAUGAUAAUUUUAAAACAGAAUAGCCCUACACCACGAUUUAUUGGAACUUUGAAUAGAACCCAUCAUAGGGUGGAAAGAGCAUGGAUUUUGGAAUCAGGAUUAGCUAAGUUUAAACUCCAAACAUUGCUUACUAGUAUUUGAUCUUAGAGCUUCAAUUUCAUCUGUCAGAUGGGAUUCUAUUACUAAGUAAUUAAUGUUAUUCUGUGGUUUAUAUAACAUGUGAGUUAAAAUGCCUGACACAUAGAAAGAACUUACAGGUAUUAAUCCUCUUCCUUUUUAUUGACCUUAGGUUUGUUUUGGAAGCAAAUACCACAUUGAAAAUUCAUUUUAAGUUCUUUGAGAAAUCUCCAAACUUCUUUCCACAGUGUCUGAACUAAUUUACAAUCCCCCAAUAGUGUAUAACCCAUGUAACAAACCUGCACAUGUACCCCCUACAUCUAAAAUAAAAGUUGAAGAAAAAACCCAAAAAA